Molecule: ribosomal RNA, 377 nt
Filed under: uncultured bacterium
Lineage: Bacteria
Description: bacterial SSU rRNA
Rfam family: Bacterial small subunit ribosomal RNA
Source: RNAcentral
AUACGUAGGUGGCGAGCGUUGUCCGGAAUUACUGGGUGUAAAGGGCGUGUAGGCGGGACUGCAAGUCAGAUGUGAAAGCCCAGGGCUUAACCCUGGAGUUGCAUCUGAAACUGUGGUUCUUGAGUGCUGGAGAGGGAAGCGGAAUUCCUAGUGUAGCGGUGAAAUGCGUAGAUAUUAGGAGGAACACCAGUGGCGAAGGCGGCUUUCUGGACAGUAACUGACGCUGAGGCGCGAAAGCGUGGGGAGCAAACAGGAUUAGAUACCCUGGUAGUCCACGCCGUAAACGAUGGAUACUAGGUGUAGGAGGUAUCGACCCCUUCUGUGCCGGAGUUAACACAAUAAGUAUCCCACCUGGGGAGUACGGCCGCAAGGUUGAA